This 23-nucleotide microRNA is filed under the name Heliconius melpomene (postman butterfly). Its description in RNAcentral is "Hme-Novel-6_5p* (star (passenger))". Lineage: Eukaryota; Metazoa; Arthropoda; Insecta; Lepidoptera; Nymphalidae. The record is from RNAcentral.
GCUUUUUCUAGGUCUCAAUUGGU